This 279-nucleotide long non-coding RNA is filed under the name Daucus carota (carrot). Its description in RNAcentral is "long non-coding RNA (DCAR_LNC000401)". Lineage: Eukaryota; Viridiplantae; Streptophyta; Magnoliopsida; Apiales; Apiaceae. The record is from RNAcentral.
UUUGGGAUGUCCCAUCAUUUUUAUACAUUCCCAAAAUAGCAACUUUUUAUAAUAUAAAACACUACUACACCCACUACAUUCUCCCACUAUCUCCAUUUUAUAAUAAUAAAAAUACUAUUACACCCACUAACUUCCUCCACUAUCUCAAAUCUAUUAUUAAAAAAUAUAUGGGUCCCACCACUUUACCCACUUUCCAUUUAACUUUACUCAUUUCUUACACUUUUUCUUGGUCUCCGUGUCCAAUCCCAGUGUAUAUAACUCACUGGGACGGAGGGAGUA